ACCCCAAAUAGUGAAAAUCCUUCCAUCCAAUUCACGACGAGCUUCCUUCUUUGCAAUUCCAAACCACUGUCCAAGUUUGUAAUUACAUAUUAGUCUUACUGCUCCAACACAAUUUGGUUCUCUAAGAAGGAAUGCAAGCUUCAAGACUAUCUAGAAGAAAUUAAGAAAAUUGAGCAAGUUGAAGAAGGAGAAGCCCAGAUAUUCCGAUACGGAGGUGUGAGCAGCUGGUUAUGGAGGACACGAGAAGAGGUAGAGGGCGGCCUAAAAAGUAUUGG
Non-coding RNA from Nicotiana tabacum (common tobacco), 275 nucleotides. The record is from RefSeq and is a predicted model, not a curated record. NCBI's taxonomy places the organism in Eukaryota, Viridiplantae, Streptophyta, Magnoliopsida, Solanales, Solanaceae.